Molecule: non-coding RNA, 1347 nt
Organism: Callithrix jacchus (white-tufted-ear marmoset)
Lineage: Eukaryota; Metazoa; Chordata; Mammalia; Primates; Cebidae
Source: RefSeq, a predicted model, not a curated record
GGUUCAACAUGCGUAUCGAGAAGGGUUAUUUCUGUUCCGGGCCCAUCUACCCUGGCCAGGGCAUGAUGUUUGUACGCAACGAUUGCAAGGUGUUCAGAUUUUGUAAAUCUGCAUGUCAUACAAACUUUAAAAAGAAGCGCAAUCCUUGCAAAGUUAGGUGGACCAAAGCAUUCCGGAAAGCAGCUGGUAAAGAGCUUACAGUGGAUAAUUCAUUUGAAUUUGAAAAGCGUAGAAAUGAACCUACCAAAUACCAGUGAGAGCUAUGGAAUAAACUAUCUAUCGAUGCAAUGAAGAGAGUUGAAGAGAUCAAACAGAAACGCCAAACUAAAUUUAUAAUGAACAGACUGAAGAAAAAUAAAGAGCUACAGAAAGUUCAGGAUAUCGAAGAAGUCAAGCAAAACAUCCAACUUAUCUGAGCCCCUCUUGCAGGCAAAGGGAAGCAUUUGGAAGAGAAAAUGGUACAGCAGUUGCAAGAGGAUGUGGAUAUGGAAGACGCUUCUUUAAAAUCUCUGUAACCAUUUCUUUUAUGUGCAUUUGAAAAUGCCCUUUGGAAACUUGGAACUGCUAAAUUAUUAGUGUAUUUUUUACAUAAGGUCACUUAAAUGAAAAAUGAUUAAAAUAUACCUUUUCUGCACUGCCAUCUAUAAAACAUCAGAUAUUACUGAUGUUACAUUGCCAUCUCAGUGUUAAAUCUUCACUGACAGAUGUACUUACGUAAAUCAUGAAAAUUCUGCUUAUAACUACAGAAGUGAAUUGUGGAUGUAAAAUGCUUAUUCCAUUUGGACAAUGGCACAGGGCAGCCUUUGUAUAAUAAGUAAGGCAAAAAUUCAUGGUUAGUGAUGUAUAAAAUAAAAUAUCCUUUGCAGUAAAAUAUUCCCUUUAUUAAUGUUAUAGAAGGGGGGGAUAUGACAAGGAAGUAACAAUUUGUAUGACAGUGUCAAAUACUAUUUGAUUUCAGUAUUUCCUGUUUUGGUUUAUUUGUAUCUCAGAAGAGCAUAAUGAUAUUGUUUGAUGAAGCCUAAUUGUGCUGGACUGUUCUGACCUGGUUUAACCCUUCUGAUAGGUAGUUUUGGAUGUUGGGGAGGAGAACUGAGUAAUCUUUGCCUGGAGUGACACUACACUCUACAAUUUCCACUUUGGAGAAUACUCAGUUUCAACUUGUGAUUCCUGGUAGAACAAACUUUAUUCUUCUAGCCUACCAAUGAUCUAGAAGCAGAGGAAUCCCAAUGCCUUUUAAAAGUAACUUGGUUUUCUUUUAAAAAGCUCCUGUUUUUGGAAAGUAGAAUUUAUGGGUACAACAUCUGUUCAUUAUUUGCACAUAAAAUAAAACCAUUUAAAAAGUAAAAA